This 253-nucleotide ribosomal RNA is filed under the name uncultured bacterium. RNAcentral's name for it is "partial 16S ribosomal RNA". It matches the Rfam family "Bacterial small subunit ribosomal RNA", at positions 524 to 776 of the family's 1533-position model. The record is from RNAcentral.
UACGAAGGGGGCUAGCGUUGUUCGGAAUCACUGGGCGUAAAGUGCACGUAGGCGGAUCUUUAAGUCAGGGGUGAAAUCCCGAGGCUCAACCUCGGAACUGCCUUUGAUACUGGGGAUCUCGAGUCCGGGAGAGGUGAGUGGAACUGCGAGUGUAGAGGUGAAAUUCGUAGAUAUUCGCAAGAACACCAGUGGCGAAGGCGGCUCACUGGCCCGGAACUGACGCUGAGGUGCGAAAGCGUGGGGAGCAAACAGG